Termitomyces sp. J132 is the source of this 99-nucleotide transfer RNA. It matches the Rfam family "tRNA". Rfam says of the family: Transfer RNA (tRNA) molecules are approximately 80 nucleotides in length. Their secondary structure includes four short double-helical elements and three loops (D, anti-codon, and T loops). Further hydrogen bonds mediate the characteristic L-shaped molecular structure. tRNAs have two regions of fundamental functional importance: the anti-codon, which is responsible for specific mRNA codon recognition, and the 3' end, to which the tRNAs corresponding amino acid is attached (by aminoacyl-tRNA synthetases). tRNAs cope with the degeneracy of the genetic code in two manners: having more than one tRNA (with a specific anti-codon) for a particular amino acid; and 'wobble' base-pairing, i.e. permitting non-standard base-pairing at the 3rd anti-codon position. Lineage: Eukaryota; Fungi; Basidiomycota; Agaricomycetes; Agaricales; Lyophyllaceae. The record is from Rfam.
UGUCCCAUGGCUUAGCUGGUCACAGCGUCCGACUGUUAUCCCCAAAUUCCACGCCUAUCUAACAUCGGAAGAUCGAGAGUUCGAGUCUCUCUGGGACAG